UGUGGAUACAACUAACACACCAUGGUAGGGCCCACAGAACUUGGUGACAUCACUUCAAACCUACUGUUGAAGCCGUCAGUAGUUAAUCCGCGUCAGUGGGUUUGGCGGUUGAGCAUCUCUCUCCGUCUCGCUUCCCCCUCUCUCGUUAUAAAUAAUCCCUUCAAAUGAAUUAGGGCAAUCUCCCUCCCUCUCCCUCGCUCUCUUUGCGAGAGAAAAAGAAGAAGAGAUUUUUCGUUUUGGUCGGCAUUGGUGAAAAAUGCAACAGAUUCUAUGAAGGAAUCCCGCAUUCAUGAUUUUCUUGCUUCGUUGAAUGCUCUUCAAUAUAGAAAGAUGGACUUUCACAGCAGCAACUUUAUGGUCAGAAGCUAACAAACACGUCUACACAAAUGAGAGAGAGAGGAUCCAUUCCAGUGUAAAGAAGAAUCAUCAACGCCUGAUGAAAGGGCGCCGUUCUUUGAAGUGGACAUGGUCCUUGAUGUUGUCUCCUUCCAACUUGAGGCUGGCCCACCACACCAAAUUGCAUUCCACCUUUAGAGAACCCCCACCAACAGUGGUGUUAGAAGCAGCAGCAUUAUCACAGGGAACUUGAAGAGGAAGAUUAUUCAGCUUCGAACAUCCACUCACUCUCAGUUUCUCCAAUGCCGGCAAGCACACCUCACCACAAAUACUCUCCAUCUUAGGUAGCUCCCACAGACACACUGUACGUAGUCAUUGGAGUGAGCCUUUAGCUACCCCUCGAAACACCGCCUCCAGUCUAUUGCAGAAUUUGAUAUGGAAAGUUUCCAGGCUUUCUAAGCAUACGGCUGAGGAGAAGACGACCACGAGUCUCGGGCAAUAGUCCAGAUAUAUGUGCAAUUCUCAAAAAAACACAACCAAGGAAAAAUUCUUUUA
This is a long non-coding RNA of Magnolia sinica, 891 nucleotides long. RefSeq lists it as uncharacterized. The transcript is spliced from 3 exons. The record is from RefSeq and is a predicted model, not a curated record. Lineage: Eukaryota; Viridiplantae; Streptophyta; Magnoliopsida; Magnoliales; Magnoliaceae.